RNAcentral lists this ribosomal RNA (467 nucleotides) under uncultured bacterium. RNAcentral's name for it is "partial 16S ribosomal RNA". It matches the Rfam family "Bacterial small subunit ribosomal RNA", at positions 28 to 507 of the family's 1533-position model. The record is from RNAcentral.
GACGAACGCUGGCGGCGUGCUUAACACAUGCAAGUCGAACGGAAAGGCCCUGCUUUUUUGGGGUGCUCGAGGGGCGAACGGGUGAGUAACACGUGAGUAACCUGCCCUUGACUUUGGGAUAACUUCAGGAAACUUGGGCUAAUACCGGAUAGGAGCGCCUGCUGCAGGGUGGGGGUUGGAAAGUUUCGGCGGUUGGGGAUGGACGCGCGGCUUACGAGCUUGUUGGUGGGGUAGUGGCUUUCCAAGGCUUUGACGGGUAGCCGGCCUGAGAGGGUGACCGGGCCCAUUGGCCCAGAGAUACGGCCCAGACGCCAACGGGAGGCAGCAGUGGGAAUAUUGCACAAUGGGCGGGAGCCUGAGGCAGAAGCGCCGCGGGCGGGAUGACGGCCUUCGGGUUGUAAACCGCUUUCGCCUGUGACGAAGCGUGAGUGACGGUAAUGGGUAAAGAAGCACCGGCUAACUACGUG